This 251-nucleotide ribosomal RNA is filed under the name uncultured bacterium. RNAcentral's name for it is "partial 16S ribosomal RNA". It matches the Rfam family "Bacterial small subunit ribosomal RNA", at positions 524 to 776 of the family's 1533-position model. The record is from RNAcentral.
UACAGAGGGGGCAAGCGUUGUUCGGAAUUACUGGGCGUAAAGGGCGCGUAGGCGCCUUCUAAGUCGAACGUGAAAUCCCCGGGCUCAACCCGGGAACUGCGUCCGAUACUGGAAGGCUUGAAUCCGGGAGAGGGAUGCGGAAUUCCAGGUGUAGCGGUGAAAUGCGUAGAUAUCUGGAGGAACACCGGUGGCGAAGGCGGCAUCCUGGGCCGGCCCUGACACUGAGACGCGAAGGCGUGGGAGCGAACGGG